This 506-nucleotide ribosomal RNA is filed under the name uncultured bacterium. RNAcentral's name for it is "partial 16S ribosomal RNA". It matches the Rfam family "Bacterial small subunit ribosomal RNA", at positions 29 to 523 of the family's 1533-position model. The record is from RNAcentral.
AGUGAACGCUGGCGGUAGGCCUAACACAUGCAAGUCGAACGGCAGCACAGGAGAGCUUGCUCUCUGGGUGGCGAGUGGCGGACGGGUGAGGAAUACAUCGGAAUCUACUCUGUCGUGGGGGAUAACGUAGGGAAACUUACGCUAAUACCGCAUACGACCUACGGGUGAAAGCAGGGGACCUUCGGGCCUUGCGCGAUUGAAUGAGCCGAUGUCGGAUUAGCUAGUUGGCGGGGUAAAGGCCCACCAAGGCGACGACCCGUAGCUGGUCUGGGAGGAUGAUCAGGCACACUGGAAAUUGGACCAGGGCCAGACUCCUACGGGAGGGAGCAGUGGGGAAUAUUGGACAAUGGGGGGAAGCCUGAUCCAGCCAUACCGCGUGGGUGAAGAAGGCCUUCGGGUUGUAAAGCCCUUUUGUUGGGAAAGAAAUCCAGCUGGCUAAUACCCGGUUGGGAUGACGGUACCCAAAGAAUAAGCACCGGCUAACUUCGUGCCAGCAGCCGCCGUAA